Non-coding RNA from Triticum aestivum (bread wheat), 126 nucleotides. The record is from Rfam. NCBI's taxonomy places the organism in Eukaryota, Viridiplantae, Streptophyta, Magnoliopsida, Poales, Poaceae.
UUACUACUCCCUCCGUCCGAAAAAGCUUGUCCCUCAAAUGGAUGUAUCUAGCAUCAAAUUAGUGCUAGAUACAUCUAUUUGAGGCACAAGCUUGGGACAACUUUUUUCGGACAGAGGGAGUACUUA